This 758-nucleotide ribosomal RNA is filed under the name uncultured Sebacina. RNAcentral describes it as "partial 28S ribosomal RNA". It matches the Rfam family "Eukaryotic large subunit ribosomal RNA", at positions 216 to 962 of the family's 3401-position model. The record is from RNAcentral. Lineage: Eukaryota; Fungi; Basidiomycota; Agaricomycetes; Sebacinales; Sebacinaceae.
GAAUCCCGUAUAUGGCACGGACUCCCGUUGCUCUGUGAUACACUCUCGACGAGUCGAGUUGUUUGGGAAUGCAGCUCUAAAUGGGUGGUAAAUGCCAUCUAAAGCUAAAUAUUGGCGAGAGACCGAUAGCGAACAAGUACCGUGAGGGAAAGAUGAAAAGCACUUUGGAAAGAGAGUGAAACAGUACGUGAAAUUGUUGAAAGGGAAACGCUUGAAGUCAGUCGCGCCGUUCGGGAUUCAGCCUUGCUUCUGCUCGGUUUACUUCCCGUAGGGUGGGUCAACAUCAGUUUCGAUCGGAGGAGAAAGGCUUGGGGAAGGUGGCAGCAUUCGUGCUGUGUUAUAGCCCCUCGUUGUAUACUUCGACUGGGACUGAGGACCGCAGCACGCCUUUGGCCGGGGUUCGCCCACGUACGUGCUUAGGAUGUUGGCAUAAUGGCUUUAAUCGACCCGUCUUGAAACACGGACCAAGGAGUCUAACAUGCCUGCGAGUGUUUGGGUGAAAAACCCGAGCGCGUAAUGAAAGUGAAAGUUGAGAUCCCUGCCAUGGGGAGCAUUGACGCCCGGAUCUGACCUUUUGUGACGAUUCUGCGGUAGAGCAUGUAUGUUGGGACCCGAAAGAUGGUGAACUAUGCCUGAAUAGGGUGAAGCCAGAGGAAACUCUGGUGGAGGCUCGUAGCGAUUCUGACGUGCAAAUCGAUCGUCAAAUUUGGGUAUAGGGGCGAAAGACUAAUCGAACCAUCUAGUAGCUGGUUCCUGCC